AUUGGCCUGCCAACACAAAACACUGUCUUCCCAUGAGAAGACAUGACAGAAGAAGAUGAGGAAGUCCUUUCCUGUUCCACCUCCCAGCUGGAUUUGUGUAUCCAGAUGCGUGUCUGUAGCUCGUGGAGCAAAGGUCAACACCGUGGUACAGGAAGUGAUGCAGAGCAGCAGACGAACAUUAACCCCCAGAGCAAGUGAGACAGCGGCCAAUUUCCAUCAGACUGCAAGAGAAAGGUUUCCAUCAGACUAACCCAGAAGGAGAGGAACAGAAGGACAGUGUUUCCCCUACAUGCACCGAGCAGCGGCAGUACACCACUGCUGAAGUAUAACCGUCGCUGCUGAUUUUAUUUUUUUUAACGAGAGGAGAGGAGAGCUUCAGCUUAUCUCUUUAAAAUAUGAAUGUUAUAUUAUUUUGCGCUACCGACACUUCAUAUCCAGGUAAAUUCACACACCUGUGAGUAAAGCAUAGCUAUAAAGGGAGAGGAACUUCCGUAAAGUUCGAAAAAUAAAUUGGCAGAUUCGGAGUUGGCGGUUAAUAGAUCAGUGAAACAUCGUUGCGACACAAUUGACACCUCUAGCUAAAUAUAGUAACCUAGAGAAACAGCUACAACAUUGUUUUCAUCCAAACGAGACGUCUUUAGCGAACAGUGAAAUGCAUUGGCUUCUAUGAGCUGUCGGCGUUCAGCCGCGAGUUUAGGGACCGUCUGCAAAGUGCAAAACUGAAAACUACCACAAUGGUACAAUUUCAAUAGCGUCACCUCUUUAUGGUCCUACUAUUCCUCCUAUUUUGACAAAUAUAUCUCUUCUUAUUUUUGAAGAUUUUUUAUUCAGCAACAAUUUCAGUAGUGUCGCCAUUAUUGACUCUAGAGCCCCAAAACUUGGUCAAUAGAGGCAUGGCCUCUUUAUGGUCCUACUGCAACCUUUGUGAUGGGGAGAGGGGAGGGAGUGGAAAGAUGCAUUGGUUGGAGACACAGACCUUUUCGAUUGGUGUAUUUGUGUUAUGUGAUGUUUGUUAAAUAAAUGUACAUAAUUGUUUUAAAGAUUA
This is a long non-coding RNA of Gadus morhua (Atlantic cod), 1045 nucleotides long. RefSeq lists it as uncharacterized. NCBI's taxonomy places the organism in Eukaryota, Metazoa, Chordata, Actinopteri, Gadiformes, Gadidae. The record is from RefSeq and is a predicted model, not a curated record. The transcript has 3 exons.